This 928-nucleotide long non-coding RNA is filed under the name Chinchilla lanigera (long-tailed chinchilla). RNAcentral's name for it is "lncRNA (ENSCLAG00000026364.1)". Lineage: Eukaryota; Metazoa; Chordata; Mammalia; Rodentia; Chinchillidae. The record is from RNAcentral.
UGACUUGCCACUCACAAAUAUAUUUCUGUAGUCCUACUGCUUUUGCCUCUCAACACUCCUUGACCUUCUGCCUGGUAACAUCCCUCAACCCUCCUCCAGGAGAAUGUGGCUGCCAAAACUCUUCGCUGACACAUGUGGGUGAGACCUGUGCCCAGUGCUAACCCAGGAGUGAGAUCUUACCCAAGGCUGCUCCAGGGCUGGGCUGGGAUUGUAAAGCUAAAUGGAAGGAGCUACCAGCUAAAGACAAUGUUCUUCCUUUUUCUUAAAAGAAGGCAAAGAAGGAUUUUGGCUGCAUAAAGGGCUUGUCGAUUUGAGGUCUGCACUGCUCCCUCAGAUGAUGCUCAGGUCUCCUCCAAAAAUGCUGCCCCCCCCCCGUAGACUCUGAUGAUGACAAACAGUCUGCACUUCUCAGCCAUGAUUAUGGGCCAGGGAGCCCAGCAGAAGGGUCUCAGACUCUAUUGAGAGGGCAGAAGAGUUUUCUCUUAUGUCGACCAUUGCCGGAAGGUGAGGCCUACAAUCUCCCACUGAGGCUGGUGUAUGGAAGAGGGUAGUGGAGGGAGAAUCCCAGGGCACUAAAGAUGGGGAGGUGGCCCAAAUCCAGUAGUUACCCUGCUUUUGGAUGUGUCCAUACUAGAGUUAAUUCAUCUCCAUAUAAUUUGAGACGGUUAAGUAUGGUUGCUGGUCUAUAAAAUGGAAAACCACUCACCUUUCUGGAGGCAUGGUUGUAUAGUGUUCCCGGUUCUGAAAUGAACAUUUGAUCACUACUCAGCCUUGGCUUCCAGCAAAGUCUGAUCUCCUAGCCAGGCCCAUGGCCCACCAUGGCCUAUAGUCUUGGCUAGAGCAACUUGUUUGUUUAGUUUUGUUUUACAUCUUUGAACUUUCACAAAAGUUUUCUGCUGCUGGAAUCCGACCUCACCUCUUUGGUGCA